Molecule: ribosomal RNA, 253 nt
Filed under: uncultured bacterium
Lineage: Bacteria
Description: partial 16S ribosomal RNA
Rfam family: Bacterial small subunit ribosomal RNA
Source: RNAcentral
UACGUAGGGUGCAAGCGUUAUCCGGAAUUAUUGGGCGUAAAGCGUUCGCAGGCGGUUCUGUAAGUCUGUGGUUAAAUCUGACCGCUCAACGGUCAACAUGCCACGAAUACUGCAGAGCUAGAGGAUGGCAGAGGCAACUGGAAUUCUGCGUGUAGGGGUAAAAUCCGUUGAUACGCAGAGGAACACCAAAAGCGAAGGCAGGUUGCUGGGCCAUUUCUGACGCUGUUGAACGAAAGCGUGGGUAGCAAACAGG